UUUCCCGGAAUUACCGAUUUUGAAAAUUCGGAAGACUUCCAUAAACAGCCAUGGUGACCCCGCCGAAUUCUCGCCGUCGGAUCUGCGCUCCUCGCUUGACGGCACGCCGCCUUCUCCCCGCCUCUGUAGCUUAUAUAUAAUCCCGCGUGCGUAAAUUGCGCUGCUGAUUACCGCGUUAAAUUCCGUUUUGUGAGUUCUUUCUCUCUCCCCUUCCCUUUUCACUCAAGCGCUAGCCUUUGGCUUGCACCGUUAGGGUUACGAUUGAUCAAGGUUUCUGAACGCGAUUGAUGUCUUUGCUGUGAACUGCGAUUUGGUAGAUUAGGACGGGCUAUUGCUGUAAAUGGGCUGCAUUCAAUCGAAGAAAGUUAGAAAGCAGCUCCCUGGGUAUGAGGAUCCGGUUCUUUUGGCUUCUCAAACUGCUUUUAGUGUCAGUGAAGUUGAGGCACUCUUUGAGUUGUUUAAGAGCAUUAGUGCCUCCGUGAUCGAUGAUGGUUUGAUAAACAAGGUGAGAUCAAAGAAGAAUGCAAAUUAGAAAGAAGGAGAAGAAGAUUAAAAAAGAAAUUCAUG
Long non-coding RNA from Dendrobium catenatum, 567 nucleotides. RefSeq lists it as uncharacterized. NCBI's taxonomy places the organism in Eukaryota, Viridiplantae, Streptophyta, Magnoliopsida, Asparagales, Orchidaceae. The transcript is spliced from 4 exons. The record is from RefSeq and is a predicted model, not a curated record.